Molecule: ribosomal RNA, 485 nt
Filed under: uncultured bacterium
Lineage: Bacteria
Description: bacterial SSU rRNA
Rfam family: Bacterial small subunit ribosomal RNA
Source: RNAcentral
GAGUUUGAACCUGGCUCAGGAUAAACGCUGGCGGCGCACAUAAGACAUGCAAGUCGAACGAACUUAAUUCAUUCUUUUAGAUUGGAAGCGGUUAGUGGCGGACUGGUGAGUAACGCGUGAGCAACCUGCCUAUUAGAGGGGAAUAACAGUGAGAAAUCAUUGCUAAUACCGCAUAUGCUUACACUAUUGCAUGAUAGAGUAAGGAAAGGAGCAAUCCGCUAAUAGAUGGGCUCGCGUCUGAUUAGCUAGUUGGUGGGGUAGAAGCCUACCAAGGCGACGAUCAGUAGCCGGACUGAGAGGUUGAACGGCCACAUUGGGACUGAGAUACGGCCCAGACUCCUACGGGAGGCAGCAGUCGGGAAUAUUGCGCAAUGGAGGGAACUCUGACGCAGUGACGCCGCGUAUAGGAAGAAGGUUUUCGGAUUGUAAACUAUUGUCGUUAGGGAAGAAAAAAGACAGUACCUAAGGAGGAAGCCCCGGCUAAC